RNAcentral lists this transfer RNA (72 nucleotides) under Lachnospiraceae bacterium. Its description in RNAcentral is "tRNA-Glu". It matches the Rfam family "tRNA". From Rfam's summary of the family: Transfer RNA (tRNA) molecules are approximately 80 nucleotides in length. Their secondary structure includes four short double-helical elements and three loops (D, anti-codon, and T loops). Further hydrogen bonds mediate the characteristic L-shaped molecular structure. tRNAs have two regions of fundamental functional importance: the anti-codon, which is responsible for specific mRNA codon recognition, and the 3' end, to which the tRNAs corresponding amino acid is attached (by aminoacyl-tRNA synthetases). tRNAs cope with the degeneracy of the genetic code in two manners: having more than one tRNA (with a specific anti-codon) for a particular amino acid; and 'wobble' base-pairing, i.e. permitting non-standard base-pairing at the 3rd anti-codon position. Lineage: Bacteria; Bacillati; Bacillota; Clostridia; Lachnospirales; Lachnospiraceae. The record is from RNAcentral.
GGCGCGUUGGUCAAGCGGCUAAGACGCCGCCCUCUCACGGCGGAAACAGGGGUUCGAUUCCCCUACGCGCUA